ACUCAGCUAACGAGUCCCAAAUAAGACGAAACGUGCAUCCUGGAU
RNAcentral lists this non-coding RNA (45 nucleotides) under Schistosoma curassoni. Lineage: Eukaryota; Metazoa; Platyhelminthes; Trematoda; Strigeidida; Schistosomatidae. The record is from RNAcentral.